UUUUGAAUUCUAGUUUGAGGUCCGCUCUCUAUAUAAAGAGCUUUUAGUUUCAGUUGUAAGGCAUCAGAAAAUUGAGAGAAGAGUCUUCACUCAAGAAGUACGAGAGCCAUAGUAGCAGUGUGUUUUAUUUCAGCAAUAGUGUGCUCUCAUUACAAUUUGGAAGCAAUAUGGUGGAUCAACAUCGAUUGGACAUCAAAAUUAAAAAUGAAUCAAAGAUCGACUAGUGCUCUUAUUGGUGAUGCCGUGAUUGCUACUUUUUCGACCUUGUGGCGUGGUUUCCUCCACGCUUCUCACCGACAAUACAAUCACGGGUCGCUACAAUCACUAAGCCUUUAUAAAUAAACAUCUUCGCCAACAAGAAAUCUCCAAAUCAAUCUGCGACCAAGCAACCUUUUCAUUCAUCCCUUCCAUUUUGAAGCGAGAAGCUAGUGCUUCUUUCCUCAUCAUUGCUGCCUUCAUUAGCUGAGAGCUGAGAGUGAAAAAACGUACACACUACAGAGUCACUCAAAUCCAUCUUUCAUAAUCUUUGAAGCCGCUGAGAGCAGAGAACAAGGCUUUUGUUCGAUUUAAAUGGCAGAGAAGAUGAGAUUCUUGGGUUCUUGGAUUGAAGUUGCCCCUGCCAUUCUAAUACGUCCCCAUAAGACUUCAACUUCUCCUGACUUGGAGACGAUUACUGAAGAGUUGGAGCUCGAGGCAGAAGACCAUGACCAGAAGCCCGCCAAUUGAAUUUUUGUUAACUUAUAACUCCAUUAGAUUGUGCCACCACGUCACGAUCUAACAAGCUAGAGUGAAAAGUUAUAAUUGAAAAUCAUGCUUUAGCAAUAGUGUGUUCUUGGCAUGGAAGAACCUGAAUAAAACUAGGGAUUGACAUGGUUUGAUAAUGUUAUACGUGUUAGGGGGUCACUGGCUAAAUUUCAUGUAUCAUUUGAAAUUUGCAUGUGCCAUAAUUUAGUAUCCGUAAAGCAUGCGUUUA
Long non-coding RNA from Rosa chinensis, 973 nucleotides. RefSeq lists it as uncharacterized. The record is from RefSeq and is a predicted model, not a curated record. Lineage: Eukaryota; Viridiplantae; Streptophyta; Magnoliopsida; Rosales; Rosaceae. The transcript has 3 exons.